UACGUAUGGUGCAAGCGUUAUCCGGAUUUACUGGGUGUAAAGGGAGCGCAGGCGGCACGGCAAGCCUGAUGUGAAAGCCCGCGGCCCAACCGCGGGACUGCAUUGGGAACUACCGGGCUGGAGUGCCGGAGAGGUAGGCGGAAUUCCUAGUGUAGCGGUGAAAUGCGUAGAUAUUAGGAGGAACACCAGUGGCGAAGGCGGCCUACUGGACGGUGACGGACGCUGAGGCUCGAAAGCGUGGGGAGCAAACAGG
RNAcentral lists this ribosomal RNA (253 nucleotides) under uncultured bacterium. RNAcentral's name for it is "partial 16S ribosomal RNA". It matches the Rfam family "Bacterial small subunit ribosomal RNA", at positions 524 to 776 of the family's 1533-position model. The record is from RNAcentral.